Molecule: ribosomal RNA, 433 nt
Filed under: uncultured bacterium
Lineage: Bacteria
Description: partial 16S ribosomal RNA
Rfam family: Bacterial small subunit ribosomal RNA
Source: RNAcentral
AACGAACGCUGGCGGCAUGCCUAACACAUGCAAGUCGAACGAGACCUUCGGGUCUAGUGGCGCACGGGUGCGUAACGCGCGGGAACCUGCCCCUAGGUUCGGAAUAACUCCCCGAAAGGGGUGCUAAUACCGGAUAAUGUCUUCGGACCAAAGAUUUAUCGCCGUUGGAUGGGGCCGCGUUGGAUUAGCUAGUUGGUAGGGUAAAAGCCUACCAAGGCGACGAGCCAUAGCUGGUCUGAGAGGAUGAUCAGCCACACUGGGACUGAGACGCGGCCCAGACUCCUACAGGAGGCAGCAGUGGGGAAUAUUGGACAAUGGGCGAAAGCCUGAUCCAGCAAUGCCGAGUGAGAGAUGAAGGCCUUAGGGUUGUAAAGCUCUUUUACCCGGGAUGAUAAUGACAGUACCGGGAGAAUAAGCGCCGGCUAACUCCGUG